Molecule: small RNA, 932 nt
Filed under: Pongo abelii (Sumatran orangutan)
Lineage: Eukaryota; Metazoa; Chordata; Mammalia; Primates; Hominidae
Description: retained intron
Source: RNAcentral
GGGCGAAAGGGUCCAUGCCAGCAACACAAUCACUCAAAGUCCAGAUGAGGGAUCAGUAAAUACAACGUGCCUGAAAGGCGGCCCUUGAGCACAUUCCUCCGGUAGACAUUAACUUAUUAAAUUGAUUCUGAUUACAAAUAUAAACUUUGCCCCUAUCUCACCCGGUAACAAUGCAAGAGUUGAUGUCAGUCUAUAAAAGGAAGUAGGAACUGUCCCUGGCUUUCAGGCUCCAACAUCCUCCCUCUGUCAAGAUGUGGCACCUCAAACUUUGUGCAGUCCUCAUGAUCUUCCUGUUGCUGUUGGGCCAGGUAAGGAGGGAAGGAUAUGUAUGUGUAUGUGUGGAGUGUGGAGAUGAUAGUGGUGGUGGAACUUGAAAGCUAGAUUCAGUCCUGGGGAAUGGUUCCUCUGUUCUGAGUCUACAGCAUCCGCGGAAUGGAAUGAUCACUCUUCCAAGGUGUGCAGCACGGUGUCAACACUUUCAUAUCUGAAUGUCUGCCCUACAGAUAGAUGGCUCCCCAAUACCAGAAGUGAGUUCAGCAAAGAGAAGGCCACGGAGAAUGACCCCAUUUUGGAGAGGGGUUUCCCUCAGGCCUAUUGGAGCCUCCUGCCGGGAUGAUUCUGAGUGUAUCACAAGGCUAUGCAGAAAAAGACGCUGUUCCUUAAGUGUGGCCCAGGAAUGAUGUACAUACCAGGGGAAGAAAGGACAGCAGUCACCUCUGACAAUGCUCCGUUCUAUGGAAUAUUGAUUAACUGCAUUUUGGCUGGAGACACCCAAGUGAAGCAAUCUUGUAUUUUUAAUAUUUAAAGGCAGAUGUAUGCUUUAAAUUGGUCUCCGUUUCUUCUUAGAAUGUUGAUAUAUGGAUAAGCAUAACUAAACUUGUCAAUUUAGAGUUUAUUUUUCUAUGGAUACUAUUAAAUGUCUCAAAUUGAAA